GUGAGUCAUCGAAUCUUUGAACGCACAUUGCGCUCUCUGGUAUUCCGGGGAGCAUGCCCGUUUCAGAAUCACAAAAAACACCUCUCUUUCCUUCUGGACAGGGGAAUAGUGGAUGGUUUGUGCGUAAAAACGCAAUCAUCUUAAUGACAUUGUGCAAUGCUACCAACUACGUUUUGGUCGGCUUCCCAAAGUGCAACAAAUUCGUUAACGCUUUGGUAGCUGCCAGAACCGGUUGGCGAAAUGCGCUCUGCCAAGGGUAAAAUGAAAGGCUGUCCUCGCGUGCUGUCACCAGCUGGCUUG
RNAcentral lists this unclassified non-coding RNA (300 nucleotides) under uncultured fungus. Its description in RNAcentral is "sequence contains 5.8S rRNA gene, ITS2". The stretch from base 1 to 71 matches the Rfam family "5.8S ribosomal RNA", at positions 84 to 154 of the family's 154-position model. Lineage: Eukaryota; Fungi. The record is from RNAcentral.